Photinus pyralis (common eastern firefly) is the source of this 517-nucleotide long non-coding RNA. RefSeq lists it as uncharacterized. The record is from RefSeq and is a predicted model, not a curated record. The transcript is spliced from 4 exons. Lineage: Eukaryota; Metazoa; Arthropoda; Insecta; Coleoptera; Lampyridae.
AUUUAAACAUAAUCGAUCAAAGAAACAAAAAUAUUCGGUGCGCUGCAAAAGUUACAACCCCUGCAGUCGAGCGAUUGCUAUACGAAGGGCAGUUUCGGGGUUGCUUAUAGAUCAUUUAAACAUAAUCGAUCAAUGAAACUAAAAUUUUUGGUGCACUGCAAAAGUUAGCAACCCCCCUAACCAACACUUGCUAUGCAUGCACGUGUAGAUUUGCUAAAAAAUUCGAAAGUUUAAAACGAGAAUGAAAUUUAUUUUUAGAGGGCAGUUUGGGGUGGCCAAUAGAUCAUUUAAACUUAAUCGAUCAUAGAAACAAAAACAUUUGGACCACUACAAAAGUUACAACCCCUGCAGUCGAGGACGGCUAUGCAUAGAGCAGUUUCGGGGUUGCUUAUAGAUCAAUUAAACAUAAUCGAUUAAAGAAACUAAAAUUUUCGGUUUGCUGCAAAAGUUAUCAACCCCCCUAACCAACACUUGCCAUGCAUUGGGCAGUUCCGGGGUGGCCAAUAGAUCAUUUAAA